This 301-nucleotide ribosomal RNA is filed under the name uncultured bacterium. RNAcentral describes it as "partial 16S ribosomal RNA". It matches the Rfam family "Bacterial small subunit ribosomal RNA", at positions 509 to 807 of the family's 1533-position model. The record is from RNAcentral.
CAGCAGCCGCGGGAAUACGUAGGGUGCAAGCGUUAAUCGGAAUUACUGGGCGUAAAGCGUGCGCAGGCGGUUCUAUAAGACAGAUGUGAAAUCCCCGGGCUCAACCUGGGAACUGCAUUUGUGACUGUAGAGCUGGAGUACGGCAGAGGGGGAUGGAAUUCCGCGUGUAGCAGUGAAAUGCGUAGAUAUGCGGAGGAACACCGAUGGCGAAGGCAAUCCCUUGGGCCUGUACUGACGCUCAUGCACGAAAGCGUGGGGAGCAAACAGGAUUAGAUACCCGAGUAGUCCCUGUCUCUUAUAC